UCUGAGAUGGGUGAUAGACGUCCUUGAACCACUGGAAAGUAAAAGUCUCUGCUUGUGUAAUUAUCUAGAGGAGUUGAUGAUAACCACGAUGCUUCAUCAGCUACUCAAUCGUCGACGCCUCCACCUCGGUACUAUUUUUGAACCGUCUAAGUUUUCUCCUCAGAAUUUUCAGAUAAUGUCAGCUUUUUUCUGAGGAAAGGCCUAUGAUAUUGGUAAAUGGGGUUUACAAAACAGAUGUAAUUAAUAUUUUGUUGCUCUUUUUAAAUUUGAUGGCAAUCUUUUUGCCAUCUGAACAGAAAGUUUAUAAAAGAAUAUUUGACUGGGAAACUGUAAGGUAGUCUGUCAUUUAGCAGUGGUAGUGCACUUACAGGACCAUAAGGGGCUUAAUCAUGAGCAAGGAACUGAAAGUUGACUUUUUUGGAAGAGCAGUAUGAUUUCCCCAAGAGAAGCUCCCAUUAUCGUCUUCUGUUGUUUUGGUCUGAAUAUUCUGAAGAAUACGUCUGAAGAUAAGGAAAUCAUCUAAGGAGCGGCAGCUGGAACGGAUCCCGGGGGUCAUCAACUUAUAGCGCCUUCUUGACAGGUACAGAGUCGUUGAUAGCAGCAGAGUGAAGUCUUGGGAGGAGCUGCUUCGACCCAUUCUAGUUGUCUAGUCCAGCCAUGGAUAGGCAGAGUUGCCCUUCCUCUGAUGGAAGACGUGGCAAAGUUAAUGAAUUUGUUAAGUCAGGUUCAGGACUUUGUAUGAUAGCUAAAAUCAAAGUAAACCCUUUAUAUAUAAUUCAGUGCAAAUUUCUGUGGAAAAUACAUGUUGGCUACACUAGCAUAUGUCUGUAAAAGAUUAUUGUACCGAAAAGAUUAUUGCAUCUCUGAAAAUUUUCAGAGAUUUGUUCUGGAAUUGUUUGUUGUCUGAACAAGACACAUA
Non-coding RNA from Triticum urartu, 919 nucleotides. NCBI's taxonomy places the organism in Eukaryota, Viridiplantae, Streptophyta, Magnoliopsida, Poales, Poaceae. The record is from RefSeq and is a predicted model, not a curated record.